This 80-nucleotide transfer RNA is filed under the name Oryctolagus cuniculus (rabbit). It matches the Rfam family "tRNA". Rfam says of the family: Transfer RNA (tRNA) molecules are approximately 80 nucleotides in length. The record is from Rfam by way of RNAcentral. Lineage: Eukaryota; Metazoa; Chordata; Mammalia; Lagomorpha; Leporidae.
GGUGUUGUGGCUUGAUGGUAAAGCUGCCGCCUGCAGCGCGGCAUCCCAUACGGGCACCGGUUCGAGUCCUGGCUGCUCCA